This 721-nucleotide ribosomal RNA is filed under the name uncultured Bacilli bacterium. RNAcentral's name for it is "bacterial SSU rRNA". It matches the Rfam family "Bacterial small subunit ribosomal RNA", at positions 41 to 733 of the family's 1533-position model. Lineage: Bacteria; Bacillati; Bacillota; Bacilli. The record is from RNAcentral.
GGCGUGCCUAAUACAUGCAAGUCGAACGCUUCUUUUUCCACCGGAGCUUGCUCCACCGGAAAAAGAGGAGUGGCGAACGGGUGAGUAACACGUGGGUAACCUGCCCAUCAGAAGGGGAUAACACUUGGAAACAGGUGCUAAUACCGUAUAACAAUCAAAACCGCAUGGUUUUGAUUUGAAAGGCGCUUUCGGGUGUCGCUGAUGAAUGGACCCGCGGUGCAUUAGCUAGUUGGUGAGGUAACGGCUCACCAAGGCCACGAUGCAUAGCCGACCUGAGAGGGUGAUCGGCCACAUUGGGACUGAGACACGGCCCAAACUCCUACGGGAGGCAGCAGUAGGGAAUCUUCGGCAAUGGACGAAAGUCUGACCGAGCAACGCCGCGUGAGUGAAGAAGGUUUUCGGAUCGUAAAACUCUGUUGUUAGAGAAGAACAAGGAUGAGAGUAACUGUUCAUCCCUUGACGGUAUCUAACCAGAAAGCCACGGCUAACUACGUGCCAGCAGCCGCGGUAAUACGUAGGUGGCAAGCGUUGUCCGGAUUUAUUGGGCGUAAAGCGAGCGCAGGCGGUUUCUUAAGUCUGAUGUGAAAGCCCCCGGCUCAACCGGGGAGGGUCAUUGGAAACUGGGAGACUUGAGUGCAGAAGAGGAGAGUGGAAUUCCAUGUGUAGCGGUGAAAUGCGUAGAUAUAUGGAGGAACACCAGUGGCGAAGGCGGCUCUCUGGU